UGGCACUCCCCCAAAUCGAUCCAUUAGCCCUCCUCCAAACCCCGACGCCGCCAGAUUGAAUCAACCCGGCCACAGUGGCUCGCUCGCCGCCACGACCUGCAGCCUUCGAAGUCAACUUACUCCUACAGCCUUCGUUCCCUGCACCAGCUGGUGUGUAUUGUGUGCAAUCGUAGGUACAUGGUGGUUGGCUUGAGGUAGCACCGUAAAAGAUUGGAGAGAAAAUCUUGGUCUAUAAGCACUGGAAACCAGGUCAUGACCGGAGGGUUUUUAACCGAUAAACAGGCUUCUUACGGUGAUCGGCUAAAGUUUUGUCACCAGCCCGCACUUCUAAAAUGAGCCCCGGUUUGGUAAGAGCGGAUGUCAUGAUAGAGUUUUGUCACCAGCCUCCCAACCACCUCUACGAUGUCUCAAUAAUUUCAUGUCUGAGGCUGUUGAAUGCUUGGUUUUAAAAAGCGAGAGGCGCACAAAAUGUACCACGUUCUUCUGACCUACAAACAGUUUCUAUGCCAUAUGUAAUAUAAAGCCUAUUGAUACUCGCGAAAUGCUAACUAGUAUCUAGAAGACAAGCAGCUCAUUUCAGGAGUCAACUACUGCCACAAUAUGUGUUGUGCAGUUUUAAAGGGUAUGUAUGUCUUUUGUUUCUGGGGUGGUGCAGGGAGGACAUGAGCAUAAGGCUUCUCUUUAGUUGCAAUGGAAUUAAAAUCAGUAUCGUCAACAUUUAUCAAGUAAUCAAUAUCAGGGUAUAAUCGUUGGGUCUGAAUGAAGCCCUACAUUUUUUUUCUCAUUGCUGCUCACACUUUGUGUUGAGUUUGUAUAACCACUUGGUACCUUACUACUUUAGUUUCUCAUAACAACUUUUAUAUAUAACGAGUAUCAUAUAUAUGUAACUUAGAAUAAUGCAUAGGUCAAUGUAUGUUGAUAUAAACAAACUGCUAUGUAAUUUUUGGUUGUUUGAAUGUGAAUUACUGUU
This 970-nucleotide long non-coding RNA is filed under the name Helianthus annuus (common sunflower). RNAcentral describes it as "hypothetical non coding rna". The record is from RNAcentral. Lineage: Eukaryota; Viridiplantae; Streptophyta; Magnoliopsida; Asterales; Asteraceae.